Long non-coding RNA from Setaria italica (foxtail millet), 442 nucleotides. RefSeq lists it as uncharacterized. The record is from RefSeq and is a predicted model, not a curated record. The transcript has 2 exons. Lineage: Eukaryota; Viridiplantae; Streptophyta; Magnoliopsida; Poales; Poaceae.
GUGAAAGUACAGCUAACGUGAUACGGGAAAAAUGCUUUUUUGAAAUGGUGAAGUCAAUUUUGGUGAUCGAUUUACAGAUAUGGAUGAUGGAAUUUAUAUCUGCUACUGAAAUGGAGGGAAUGGCGGAAUAAAUGAUUUUUUUGCCACCUGGGAAACGGAGCUGAAAUUUAGGAGACUUUGAACAUGUGAACACGUUAUCGAGAACACGUUGCAGCUGUUCAUGCGCUUGUUUGUUCUCUUCACCUGUAUUGCUGAUCUGUUAUGACCAAAAGCAUUGCGCACACAUUUCUUUGCGCAUGUACGGUGGAAGCAAAGGUUCACGCGCACUUCUGUUUUUGUGAUGCGUAAGUAUGAGCAAUCGCCAGUUUGAGACUGGUGCGUACAUGGAUAUAUUUUCAUUUUGUGAAUUAAACCAAAAGAAAACUAGAUAAAUUCGAAUUCA